GGCGGUUCGCCGCCGGCGACGUCGCGAGAAGUCCACUGAACCUUAUCAUUUAGAGGAAGGAGAAGUCGUAACAAGGUUUCCGUAGGUGAACCUGCGGAAGGAUCAUUGUCGAAACCUGCACAGCAGAGCAACCCGCGAACACGUUACACAACACAUCGUCGUCGGCGCCCUCGCGGCGUUCGACGGCACAACAACGAACCCCGGCGCGAUCUGCGCCAAGGAAAAUCAAACUCGAGAGCACGCCUCGCGUUGCCCCGUUCGCGGUGUGCGCGGGAGGCMGUAGCUUCUUAUGAACACAAACGACUCUCGGCAACGGAUAUCUCGGCUCUCGCAUCGAUGAAGAACGUAGCGAAAUGCGAUACUUGGUGUGAAUUGCAGAAUCCCGUGAACCAUCGAGUCUUUGAACGCAAGUUGCGCCCGAAGCCAUUAGGCCGAGGGCACGUCUGCAUGGGCGUCACGCAUCGCGUCGCCCCCAAGACCAAGUCCCUGAUGACGGGCGUUGGGCUUGGGGGCGGAUAUUGGCCUCCCGUGCCCCUUCGGUGCGGUUGGCCCAAAAACAGAGUCCCCCCGGUGGACGCACGACAAGUGGUGGUUGAUAACAAGGCCCUCGCGUCGUGUCGUGCGUUAUCACUCCGGUGUUGGCGGCUCACAUGACCCCAACGGGUCGUCCGUGACGACUCUUCGACAGCGACCCCAUGUCAGGCGGGACUACCCGCUGAGUUUAAGCAUAUCAAUAAG
RNAcentral lists this ribosomal RNA (738 nucleotides) under Alseuosmia quercifolia. Its description in RNAcentral is "eukaryotic LSU rRNA". The stretch from base 302 to 457 matches the Rfam family "5.8S ribosomal RNA". The record is from RNAcentral. Lineage: Eukaryota; Viridiplantae; Streptophyta; Magnoliopsida; Asterales; Alseuosmiaceae.